RNAcentral lists this unclassified non-coding RNA (825 nucleotides) under Hevea brasiliensis (rubber tree). Lineage: Eukaryota; Viridiplantae; Streptophyta; Magnoliopsida; Malpighiales; Euphorbiaceae. The record is from RNAcentral.
GGACUUCAAGGUGGCCCCCACAAUCACACAAUUUCUGGCUUAGCUGUCGCACUGAAACAAGUCAUGACACCAGAAUACAAGGCAUACCAAGAGCAAGUUCUUAGCAAUUGCUCUAAGUUUGCUGAGAGUUUGCUGGCAGCGGGAUAUGAUCUUGUAUCUGGUGGAACUGAGAAUCAUCUCGUGCUGGUUAACUUAAGAAAUAAGGGUAUUGAUGGAUCUAGAGUUGAGAAGGUUUUAGAGUCGGUGCAUAUUGCAGCCAAUAAGAAUACUGUGCCUGGUGAUGUAUCUGCCAUGGUACCUGGUGGCAUUCGCAUGGGCACCCCAGCUCUCACUUCUAGAGGUUUUGUUGAGGAGGAUUUUGUCAAAGUGGCUGAAUAUUUUGACGCUGCUGUGAAGUUGGCCCUUAAGGUCAAGGCUGAGACCAAAGGAACGAAGUUGAAGGACUUUGUGGCAACUUUGAGUUCAGACUCCAACAUUCAAUCUGAGGUUGCCAAGCUAAGGCAGGACGUUGAGGACUAUGCCAAACAAUUCCCUACUGUUGGUUUCGAGAAAGAAACAAUGAAAUACAAGAAUUGAGCUUGGAUCUAGUGUUGAGGUACUUCUGUUGCCUUACUUUUCUCCUAAACGAAAAAAAGAGUUAUUUCUGAUGUAUUUUUCUGUUUAUUAUACCAGAAUGUAAAAUCAUGUGUUUUUAAGUUUUUAACACUGGGUCCAUUUACUUAUUCAUUUAAGGCAGUGAGGCUUCCUUUUUCUUCACUCUCUGUAAUUUUGCUGUCUUUGGCUGUAAGUGUAAAAUGUGCAAGAUGAUUGCCUAUUUAGUUCUAG